This 219-nucleotide unclassified non-coding RNA is filed under the name soil metagenome. RNAcentral's name for it is "partial contains 5.8S ribosomal RNA, internal transcribed spacer 2, and large subunit ribosomal RNA". The record is from RNAcentral.
AACGAGGCCGACCUGCGGCUGAGUUACCUGCGGAAGGAUCAUUACAAGUGACCCCGGUCUAACCACCGGGAUGUUCAUAACCCUUUGUUGUCCGACUCUGUUGCCUCCGGGGCGACCCUGCCUUCGGGCGGGGGCUCCGGGUGGACACUUCAAACUCUUGCGUAACUUUGCAGUCUGAGUAAACUUAAUUAAUAAAUUAAAACUUUCAGCAAUGGAUCU